Molecule: ribosomal RNA, 492 nt
Filed under: uncultured bacterium
Lineage: Bacteria
Description: partial 16S ribosomal RNA
Rfam family: Bacterial small subunit ribosomal RNA
Source: RNAcentral
AGUGAACGCUGGCGGUAGGCCUAACACAUGCAAGUCGAACGGCAGCACAGUAAGAGCUUGCUCUUACGGGUGGCGAGUGGCGGACGGGUGAGGAAUACAUCGGCAUCUACUUUUUCGUGGGGGAUAACGUAGGGAAACUUACGCUAAUACCGCAUACGACCUACGGGUGAAAGCAGGGGAUCUUCGGACCUUGCGCGAUUGAAUGAGCCGAUGUCGGAUUAGCUAGUUGGCGGGGUAAAGGCCCACCAAGGCGACGAUCCGUAGCUGGUCUGAGAGGAUGAUCGGCCACACUGGAACUGAGACACGGUCCAGACUCCUACGGGAGGCGGCAGUGGGGAAUAUUGGACAAUGGGCGCAAGCCUGAUCCAGCCAUACCGCGUGGGUGAAGAAGGCCUUCGGGUUGUAAAGCCCUUUUGUUGGGAAAGAAGAGCAGCAGGUUAAUACCCCGCUGUUCUGACGGUACCCAAAGAAUAAGCACCGGCUAACUUCGUG